Molecule: ribosomal RNA, 700 nt
Filed under: Mycolicibacterium frederiksbergense
Lineage: Bacteria; Bacillati; Actinomycetota; Actinomycetes; Mycobacteriales; Mycobacteriaceae
Description: bacterial SSU rRNA
Rfam family: Bacterial small subunit ribosomal RNA
Source: RNAcentral
UGGGAUAAGCCUGGGAAACUGGGUCUAAUACCGAAUAUGACCAUGCGCCUCCUGGUGUGUGGUGGAAAGCUUUUGCGGUGUGGGAUGGGCCCGCGGCCUAUCAGCUUGUUGGUGGGGUAAUGGCCUACCAAGGCGACGACGGGUAGCCGGCCUGAGAGGGUGACCGGCCACACUGGGACUGAGAUACGGCCCAGACUCCUACGGGAGGCAGCAGUGGGGAAUAUUGCACAAUGGGCGCAAGCCUGAUGCAGCGACGCCGCGUGAGGGAUGACGGCCUUCGGGUUGUAAACCUCUUUCAGCACAGACGAAGCGCAAGUGACGGUAUGUGCAGAAGAAGGACCGGCCAACUACGUGCCAGCAGCCGCGGUAAUACGUAGGGUCCGAGCGUUGUCCGGAAUUACUGGGCGUAAAGAGCUCGUAGGUGGUUUGUCGCGUUGUUCGUGAAAACUCACAGCUUAACUGUGGGCGUGCGGGCGAUACGGGCAGACUUGAGUACUGCAGGGGAGACUGGAAUUCCUGGUGUAGCGGUGGAAUGCGCAGAUAUCAGGAGGAACACCGGUGGCGAAGGCGGGUCUCUGGGCAGUAACUGACGCUGAGGAGCGAAAGCGUGGGGAGCGAACAGGAUUAGAUACCCUGGUAGUCCACGCCGUAAACGGUGGGUACUAGGUGUGGGUUUCCUUCCUUGGGAUCCGUGCCGUAG